UACGAAGGGGGCAAGCGUUACUCGGAAUUACUGGGCGUAAAGCGUGCGUAGGUGGUUUGUUAAGUCUGUUGUGAAAGCCCCGGGCUCAACCUGGGAACUGCAGUCGAAACUGCAAAGCUUGAAUGUUGGAGAGGUUGGGGGAAUACCUAGUGGAGAAGUGAAAUUCGUAGAGAUUAGGUGGAACACCAGAGGCGAAGGCGCCUGACUGGCCAAACAUUGACGCUGAGGCGCGAAAGCGUGGGUAGCAAACAGG
RNAcentral lists this ribosomal RNA (253 nucleotides) under uncultured bacterium. Its description in RNAcentral is "partial 16S ribosomal RNA". It matches the Rfam family "Bacterial small subunit ribosomal RNA", at positions 524 to 776 of the family's 1533-position model. The record is from RNAcentral.